This 1156-nucleotide long non-coding RNA is filed under the name Equus caballus (horse). Its description in RNAcentral is "lncRNA (ENSECAG00000040544.3)". Lineage: Eukaryota; Metazoa; Chordata; Mammalia; Perissodactyla; Equidae. The record is from RNAcentral.
CACGUUUCAUUUAGCCUUUGAAGCGUCUUAAGGCAAAAGUGGGAGCUCCACCAUGUGUGUAUGUGGUGAGAAAGCUUGACCUUGGGACCUUCACUUAUUUGCUUUCAGAGUACUGUGAUUGAUGUUUUGUAGGUUACUUGCACCACAUUAAUUGCAUCUAUGAAUUAUUAUAUCUACUUGAACUAACCCUUACAAGAUGAACAAGUGGAUUAGGCAGAUUCCUACGAAGAAACUGUUUGAAGACUAAACUGAAUGCAAGCAAGAGCAAACCACAAGAAAGCAACAGAGCCGCUGCCACUUCUCCUACUAGACAAAUGCUUCGUCAGUCGCUUAAGAGGCCACUCUCUUAGGCAGGUCCCAUGAAGACAGCUUGAGCAUGCUUACCUUCCGUUGCAUCUGUGAGUCGGUGGGAAGCACUUGCAUCCUCGCCACCCAGAAGUCUAGAUUGCUCCAGUUCAGCUCUCUCUUUACCUUCAUGGCAAAUGGCUGCACCUGGCCUCCUGCUUGCUAUAGUCACCAGCUGCAAAACAAAUAUAGAAAAGCAAGGCCUGAGGUCAUGCUAUGCAAACCAACCCCUGGGAUCCAUCUGGUCCAACAACCUCAGCUCAUUGAGAAAAGGUAUAGCUGGCCUGCAAAGGUAAGCUGUCUGACUAUUGAGAAAGCAAUAGGUUAUAUUCUGUUUACACUAGUCCUUAGGAAGCAAAUAUUGAAAUAAAAAUGUUCUGAUAUCAGCCGCUGUAUUUCCAUAUGAGCUAAAGGACACUAAGUUUUUAUAGGGCAUGAAAUAUUUAAUUCUGUAUUCUUUUCCCUCAGAAUCUCAACAUUAGUGUUUAAGUAAAGGUAAGCACUAAUAAUGUGAAAUUAAAAAGAUACUACCAUUGGGUCUCAAGACAUCAUUCUGAAAUAAGAAAAAGAAAUGUGAUAUAAUUUUAAGAGAAAUGCAACUAAAAUAUUUAUUUCAAACCUAUAAAGGCUGCUGAUUAGACACCCCAAUAUUUUUUUCGAUCACUAACUGGGUCUUCCUUGCAAGGCUCCAGGAAGACACCAACGAAUCCACGGCACAUUGCGAAGUCAUCACUAGUUAUGAAAUAGACUCUACUCUAUUGAUUGUAUUACAGUUUGUAACCUAUUGUAUUAAAACUACUUUAGUAAGUGG